Non-coding RNA from Glycine max (soybean), 81 nucleotides. The record is from Rfam. NCBI's taxonomy places the organism in Eukaryota, Viridiplantae, Streptophyta, Magnoliopsida, Fabales, Fabaceae.
GAAUGGAAUGAUGAUUAUUAUUUCCCUAUUGGUUUGAUUGCCUUCAUGAUGGCAUUUUGUAUUAGCUCUAUCUGACCAUUC